Molecule: ribosomal RNA, 257 nt
Filed under: uncultured bacterium
Lineage: Bacteria
Description: partial 16S ribosomal RNA
Rfam family: Bacterial small subunit ribosomal RNA
Source: RNAcentral
UACGGGGGGGGCAAGCGUUGUUCGGAAUUACUGGGCGUAAAGGGCUCGUAGGCGGCCAACUAAGUCGGACGUGAAAUCCCCAGGCUUAACUUGGGAACUGCGUCCGAUACUGGAUGGCUUGAAUCCGGGAGAGGGAUGCGGAAUUCCAGGUGUAGCGGUGAAAUGCGUAGAUAUCUGGAGGAACACCGGUGGCGAAGGCGGCAUCCUGGACCGGUAUUGACGCUGAGUGAGCGAAAGCCAGGGGGAGCAAAACGGGG